This 629-nucleotide ribosomal RNA is filed under the name Rhodopseudomonas telluris. RNAcentral describes it as "bacterial SSU rRNA". It matches the Rfam family "Bacterial small subunit ribosomal RNA", at positions 75 to 744 of the family's 1533-position model. The record is from RNAcentral. Lineage: Bacteria; Pseudomonadati; Pseudomonadota; Alphaproteobacteria; Hyphomicrobiales; Nitrobacteraceae.
CGUAGCAAUACGUCAGUGGCAGACGGGUGAGUAACACGUGGGAACGUACCUUUUGGUUCGGAACAACUGAGGGAAACUUCAGCUAAUACCGGAUAAGCCCUUACGGGGAAAGAUUUAUCGCCGAAAGAUCGGCCCGCGUCUGAUUAGCUAGUUGGUGAGGUAAUGGCUCACCAAGGCGACGAUCAGUAGCUGGUCUGAGAGGAUGAUCAGCCACAUUGGGACUGAGACACGGCCCAAACUCCUACGGGAGGCAGCAGUGGGGAAUAUUGGACAAUGGGGGAAACCCUGAUCCAGCCAUGCCGCGUGAGUGAUGAAGGCCCUAGGGUUGUAAAGCUCUUUUGUGCGGGAAGAUAAUGACGGUACCGCAAGAAUAAGCCCCGGCUAACUUCGUGCCAGCAGCCGCGGUAAUACGAAGGGGGCUAGCGUUGCUCGGAAUCACUGGGCGUAAAGGGUGCGUAGGCGGGUCUUUAAGUCAGAGGUGAAAGCCUGGAGCUCAACUCCAGAACUGCCUUUGAUACUGAGGAUCUUGAGUAUGGGAGAGGUGAGUGGAACUGCGAGUGUAGAGGUGAAAUUCGUAGAUAUUCGCAAGAACACCAGUGGCGAAGGCGGCUCACUGGCCCAUAACUGAC